CCCUGGAUAGCUCAGUCAGUAGAGCAUGAGACUCUUAAUCUCACAGUCUCAGGUUCAAGCCCCACAUUGGGCA
This is a non-coding RNA of Podarcis lilfordi (Lilford's wall lizard), 73 nucleotides long. The record is from the annotation of a GenBank genome assembly. NCBI's taxonomy places the organism in Eukaryota, Metazoa, Chordata, Lepidosauria, Squamata, Lacertidae.